GUUGGAAGUUGGAUUGCAGACUGUGUGUAUGACAUAGCCAGAGAUUUCCCUCUUGCGCUGGAUGUGGGCUGUGGAAGAGGCUUCAUAGCACAACAUUUGAAUAAGAUGAAGAUGGAAUCAGCGUAUGAGAAGAUGGGAAAACAAAGAAAAAUCAAAAGGAUGAUGAAGAACAAAUUGCUAAAUAUAGACAGCUCUUGGAGAUUAUUAAAGAAAAAGAAAGAAAAGGAAAAGAAAACGAUAUGGAAAUGGAAAUCAAGUGGGUUAGAGGCCUUAAGGAGAGUGCAGAAGAGAUGGUCAAAAACAGGUUGGAGGGAAAGGAUAAACUGACCCCUUGGGAACAAUUUUUAGAGCAGAAGAAAGAGAAGAGAAGACUGAAAAAGAAACAGAAGGCUCUUGCUGAAGAAGCUAGUGAAGAUGAGCUUCCUUCUGAUGUUGAUAUGAAUGAUCCCUACUUUGCUGAAGAAGUUAAAAAAAUAGGUA
This is a long non-coding RNA of Onychomys torridus (southern grasshopper mouse), 480 nucleotides long. RefSeq lists it as uncharacterized. Lineage: Eukaryota; Metazoa; Chordata; Mammalia; Rodentia; Cricetidae. The record is from RefSeq and is a predicted model, not a curated record. The transcript has 5 exons.